GUAGUCAUAUGCUUGUCUCAAAGAUUAAGCCAUGCAUGUCUAAGUAUAAGCAAUUUAUACGGUGAAACUGCGAAUGGCUCAUUAAACCAGUUAUCGUUUAUUUGAUAGUACCUUACUACAUGGUUACCUGUGGUAAUUCUAGAGCUAAUACAUGCUGAAGACCCCGACUUCGGAAGGGGUGUAUUUAUUAGAUAAAAAACCAACGCCCUUCGGGGCUCCUUGGUGAAUCAUAAUAACUUAACGAAUCGCAUGGCCUUGCGCCGGCGAUGGUUCAUUCAGAUUUCUGCCCUAUCAACUUUCGAUGGUAGGAUAGUGGCCUACCAUGGUGGCAAACGGGUAAACGGGGGAAU
This 350-nucleotide ribosomal RNA is filed under the name uncultured fungus. RNAcentral describes it as "SSU rRNA". It matches the Rfam family "Eukaryotic small subunit ribosomal RNA", at positions 20 to 371 of the family's 1831-position model. The record is from RNAcentral. Lineage: Eukaryota; Fungi.